AGGCUUAACACAUGCAAGUCGUGCGAGAAAGUAUCUUCGGAUACGAGUAGAGCGGCGGACGGGUGAGUAACGCGUAGGAAUCUACCUAGUAGAAGGGGAUAGCCCGGGGAAACUCGGAUUAAUACCGUAUACCUCCUUUGGGAGAAAGAGGGCCUCUCUUUGAAGCUUUCGCUACUAGAUGAGCCUGCGUAAGAUUAGCUUGUUGGUGAGGUAACUGCUCACCAAGGCUACGAUCUUUAGCUGGUCUGAGAGGACGAUCAGCCACAUUGGGACUGAGACACGGCCCAGACUCCUACGGGAGGCAGCAGUGGGGAAUAUUGGACAAUGGGCGCAAGCCUGAUCCAGCCAUACCGCGUGUGUGAAGAAGGCCUUCGGGUUGUAAAGCACUUUAAGCAGGGAGAAAAAGUUGUAAGUUAAUACCUUACAACCGUGAUGUUACCUGCAGAAUAAGCACCGG
Molecule: ribosomal RNA, 457 nt
Filed under: uncultured Pseudomonadota bacterium
Lineage: Bacteria; Pseudomonadati; Pseudomonadota
Description: bacterial SSU rRNA
Rfam family: Bacterial small subunit ribosomal RNA
Source: RNAcentral